Molecule: ribosomal RNA, 381 nt
Filed under: Escherichia coli
Lineage: Bacteria; Pseudomonadati; Pseudomonadota; Gammaproteobacteria; Enterobacterales; Enterobacteriaceae
Description: bacterial SSU rRNA
Rfam family: Bacterial small subunit ribosomal RNA
Source: RNAcentral
GUGAGACAGGUGCUGCAUGGCUGUCGUCAGCUCGUGUUGUGAAAUGUUGGGUUAAGUCCCGCAACGAGCGCAACCCUUAUCCUUUGUUGCCAGCGGUCCGGCCGGGAACUCAAAGGAGACUGCCAGUGAUAAACUGGAGGAAGGUGGGGAUGACGUCAAGUCAUCAUGGCCCUUACGACCAGGGCUACACACGUGCUACAAUGGCGCAUACAAAGAGAAGCGACCUCGCGAGAGCAAGCGGACCUCAUAAAGUGCGUCGUAGUCCGGAUUGGAGUCUGCAACUCGACUCCAUGAAGUCGGAAUCGCUAGUAAUCGUGGAUCAGAAUGCCACGGUGAAUACGUUCCCGGGCCUUGUACACACCGCCCGUCACACCAUGGGAG